UCUACNUGCCAUCCGCGGCCUGGCGGCCGGGAGCAUGCGACGUCGGGCCCAAUUCGCCCUAUAGUGAGUCGUAUUACAAUUCACUGGCCGUCGUUUUACAAAGGAAACUUGUGCUAAUACCGAAUAAGCCCUUACGGGGAAAGUUUUAAUGCCGAAAGAUGAGCCCGCACUUGAUUAGCUAGUUGGUAAGGUAAAAGCUUACCAAGGCAAUGAUCAAUAGCUGUUCUUAGAGGAAGACCAGCCACAUUGGGACUGA
Molecule: ribosomal RNA, 256 nt
Filed under: uncultured bacterium
Lineage: Bacteria
Description: partial 16S ribosomal RNA
Rfam family: Bacterial small subunit ribosomal RNA (bases 64-256)
Source: RNAcentral